Molecule: ribosomal RNA, 402 nt
Filed under: Microvirga ossetica
Lineage: Bacteria; Pseudomonadati; Pseudomonadota; Alphaproteobacteria; Hyphomicrobiales; Methylobacteriaceae
Also listed under: 2 other names
Description: partial 16S ribosomal RNA
Rfam family: Bacterial small subunit ribosomal RNA
Source: RNAcentral
UAGGGAAUAUUGGACAAUGGGGGCAACCCUGAUCCAGCAAUGCCGCGUGAGUGAUGAAGGCCUUAGGGUUGUAAAGCUCUUUUACCCGAGAUGAUAAUGACAGUAUCGGGAGAAUAAGCUCCGGCUAACUCCGUGCCAGCAGCCGCGGUAAUACGGAGGGAGCUAGCGUUGUUCGGAAUUACUGGGCGUAAAGCGCACGUAGGCGGCGAUUUAAGUCAGAGGUGAAAGCCCGGGGCUCAACCCCGGAACUGCCUUUGAGACUGGAUUGCUAGAAUCUUGGAGAGGCGGGUGGAAUUCCGAGUGUAGAGGUGAAAUUCGUAGAUAUUCGGAAGAACACCAGUGGCGAAGGCGGCCCGCUGGACAAGUAUUGACGCUGAGGUGCGAAAGCGUGGGGAGCAAACA